UACGGAUGGUGCAAGCGUUAUCCGGAUUCACUGGGUUUAAAGGGUGCGUAGGCGGGUAGGUAAGUCAGUGGUGAAAUCCUGGAGCUCAACUCCAGAACUGCCAUUGAUACUAUCUAUCUUGAAUAUUGUGGAGGUAAGCGGAAUAUGUCAUGUAGCGGUGAAAUGCUUAGAUAUGACAUAGAACACCCAUUGCGAAGGCAGCUUACUACGCAUAUAUUGACGCUGAGGCACGAAAGCGUGGGGAUCAAACAGGAUUAGAUACCCUGGUAGUCCACGCCCUAAACUAUGGAUACUCGACAUAUGCGAUACACUGUAUGUGUCUGAGCGAAAGCAUUAAGUAUCCCACCUGGGAAGUACGUUCGCAAGAAUGAAACUCAAAGGAAUUGGCGGGGGUCCGCACAAGCGGUGGAGUAUGUGGUUUAAUUCGAUGAUACGCGAGGAACCUUACCUGGGCUAGAAUGCUGGGAGACCGCUAGUGAAAGCUAGUUUUGUAGCAAUACACUGCCAGUAAGGUGCUGCAUGGCCGUCGUCAGCUCGUGCCGUGAGGUGUUGGGUUAAGUCCCGCAACGAGCGCAACCCCUAUCUUUAGUUGCCAACAGGUAAUGCUGGGAACUCUAAAGAAACUGCCGCCGUAAGGUGUGAGGAAGGAGGGGAUGAUGUCAGGUCAUCAUGGCCUUUAUGCCCAGGGCUACACACGUACUACAAUGGGGGAGACAAAGGGCUGCAACAUAGCGAUAUGAAGCCAAUCCCAAAAACUCCCUCUCAGUUCAGAUUGCAGGCUGCAACUCGCCUGCAUGAAGCUGGAAUCGCUAGUAAUCGUAUAUCAGCAAUGAUACGGUGAAUACGUUCCCGGACCU
This 857-nucleotide ribosomal RNA is filed under the name uncultured bacterium. Its description in RNAcentral is "bacterial SSU rRNA". It matches the Rfam family "Bacterial small subunit ribosomal RNA", at positions 524 to 1381 of the family's 1533-position model. The record is from RNAcentral.